Molecule: ribosomal RNA, 569 nt
Filed under: Streptomyces sp. 434E09
Lineage: Bacteria; Bacillati; Actinomycetota; Actinomycetes; Kitasatosporales; Streptomycetaceae
Description: bacterial SSU rRNA
Rfam family: Bacterial small subunit ribosomal RNA
Source: RNAcentral
UAGUGGCGAACGGGUGAGUAACACGUGGGCAAUCUGCCCUUCACUCUGGGACAAGCCCUGGAAACGGGGUCUAAUACCGGAUAACACUGCGGAUCGCAUGGUCUGCGGUUAAAAGCUCCGGCGGUGAAGGAUGAGCCCGCGGCCUAUCAGCUUGUUGGUGAGGUAGUGGCUCACCAAGGCGACGACGGGUAGCCGGCCUGAGAGGGCGACCGGCCACACUGGGACUGAGACACGGCCCAGACUCCUACGGGAGGCAGCAGUGGGGAAUAUUGCACAAUGGGCGAAAGCCUGAUGCAGCGACGCCGCGUGAGGGAUGACGGCCUUCGGGUUGUAAACCUCUUUCAGCAGGGAAGAAGCGAAAGUGACGGUACCUGCAGAAGAAGCGCCGGCUAACUACGUGCCAGCAGCCGCGGUAAUACGUAGGGCGCAAGCGUUGUCCGGAAUUAUUGGGCGUAAAGAGCUCGUAGGCGGCUUGUCACGUCGAUUGUGAAAGCCCGAGGCUUAACCUCGGGUCUGCAGUCGAUACGGGCUAGCUAGAGUGUGGUAGGGGAGAUCGGAAUUCCUGGUGU